RNAcentral lists this ribosomal RNA (263 nucleotides) under uncultured bacterium. RNAcentral's name for it is "partial 16S ribosomal RNA". It matches the Rfam family "Bacterial small subunit ribosomal RNA", at positions 95 to 354 of the family's 1533-position model. The record is from RNAcentral.
CCGGCGCACGGGUGAGUAACACGUAUGCAACCUGGCCGUCACAGGUGGAUAACCGGAAGAAAUUCCGACUAAUACAGCAUAACACUCCUGGGGGACAUCCCUUGGGAGUCAAAGGAGGCAACUCCAGUGACGGAUGGGCAUGCGGCGCAUUAGGUAGUUGGUAGGGUAACGGCCUACCAAGCCGACGAUGCGUAGGGGUUCUGAGAGGAAGGUCCCCCACAUUGGAACUGAGACACGGUCCAAACUCCUACGGAAGGCAGCAG